This is a long non-coding RNA of Sorghum bicolor (sorghum), 799 nucleotides long. RefSeq lists it as uncharacterized. The record is from RefSeq and is a predicted model, not a curated record. Lineage: Eukaryota; Viridiplantae; Streptophyta; Magnoliopsida; Poales; Poaceae. The transcript has 2 exons.
CCCCAACACCCUGCACCCGAUGCCCAUCACUCGCUGCUCUCUGUCCAUCACCUCUCCCUCUCUCCCAUGGCAGCUCUACCCGAGGCUCCUCCCUCCUCUCCGCCGUGGAGCUCGAGCUUAGCACGGGGUGGCUGGCGGCGCAUCUCUCUCCAUCUCCUGUGGUGCAUCUCUCUCCUUCCAGUUCAGUCGGCACAUGCAUGGGGAAGUCAUUGGUGCACAUCGCUCUCCCCCUCCCCUGCAGCGCAUCCCUCUCCCUCAAGCACGAUGGUGGAUCUGGCCCCCAUGCAAACGGAUCGAGCCCUGCAAUUUUGGCGGCAGUGCCCCGAUCUCCACUGGAUCUGCUGGUCGUGGAGGAGGCCAGCCUUGAUCCGCUCUUUGACACAGGGCUGAGGACCCAGCAGCAUGGAGGUGCACAUGCUCUAAAUCCGACAUGGAGGAGGCUGCCCGCACCCGGAUCUGGCGAGAAGGAGGUCGGAUGUGCCUUGAUCCGGCGACACCGGUAGUCUUGAUCCACAGCGAAAGUCGGUAUGGAGGUGCAUGCACCUGCGUGUGGCAUGGCGACCGACGGCGGCGCUAGAUCCAGCUUGUGAGCUGGGAAUGGGCUCGGGAACGGGCUUGCUGUUGGGUUCAUGGAUUUGUUUUUGUUUUUUCAUCGAUUAACCGAGGCGGGUAUUCUAAAGAGCCCGCCUUCAUUAAUUAGUUAACGAUGCGGGCAUGGCAACCGCCUCCAUUAAUUCUCGAUUAACCGAGACCAUUGAUUGGAGGCGGUUGCAAUGCCCAACUCCAUUAAUUCUUUUCA